AUUGAACGCUGGCGGCAGGCCUAACACAUGCAAGUCGAGCGCGAAAAUUCCUUCGGGGAUGAGUAGAGCGGCGGACGGGUGAGUAACGCGUAGGAAUCUGCCCGGUAGUGGGGGACAACAGUCGGAAACGACUGCUAAUACCGCAUACGCCCUAAGGGGGAAAGCAGGGGAUCUUCGGACCUUGCGCUAUCGGAUGAGCCUGCGUCGGAUUAGCUUGUUGGUGGGGUAAUGGCCUACCAAGGCGACGAUCCGUAGCUGGUCUGAGAGGAUGAUCAGCCGCACUGGGACUGAGACACGGCCCAGACUCCUACGGGAGGCAGCAGUGGGGAAUAUUGGACAAUGGGGGAAACCCUGAUCCAGCCAUGCCGCGUGUGUGAAGAAGGCCUCGGUUGUAAGACACUUCUAGUAGGAGGAAAGGUUAGAGUAGGCGUAAUACCACU
RNAcentral lists this ribosomal RNA (440 nucleotides) under uncultured bacterium. RNAcentral describes it as "bacterial SSU rRNA". It matches the Rfam family "Bacterial small subunit ribosomal RNA", at positions 30 to 474 of the family's 1533-position model. The record is from RNAcentral.